This 4191-nucleotide long non-coding RNA is filed under the name Manihot esculenta (cassava). Its description in RNAcentral is "long non-coding RNA (MESC_LNC002478)". The record is from RNAcentral. Lineage: Eukaryota; Viridiplantae; Streptophyta; Magnoliopsida; Malpighiales; Euphorbiaceae.
CGCCGAUUGAAUGCUAGAGAUCCUCAGUCCUUUUGAAAGAUCUGGUCAUGGCGAGCAGUAGCAAGGAACAAAAGGCGACUGGAGCUUCAGAAAAGUUGCAGAUCGUGAAUACGGGGAUGGAAGACCCCCUGAGUCUUCAAACAUCUUAUCAUCCAGGUAUGAGCCUAGUCUCUGCACCUCUUGUAGGACUUAAUUUCAGAUCUUGGAGUAGGGCCGUUAAAAUAGCCCUAGGAGCCAAGAUGAAAUUGAGAUUUGUCGAAGGCACUACUUCGACACCUAGUAAAGACACUGAGGGAUAUGAAUAGUGGAAAAGAUGUGACUUCAUGGUCACAUCUUGGAUUCUCAACUCCAUCUCUAAGGAGUUAGUUGAUGGAUUUAUAUACACCGCCUCUGCCAGAGAUCUCUGGCAAGAGAUCUGCGAGAGAUUUGGAGAGUGCAAUGGUCCUAUGAUCUACGAGUUACACAGGAAAAUAUCCCUUAUCUCCCAAGAAAAUCAGUCUGUGUCAGUCUACUUCACUAAGCUGAAGAGGCUGUGGGAUGAGCUUGGGUCUGUAGAACCUCUUCCAACAUGUACCUGUGGAGCCUCUAGGGCCAUAGCUGAAAUAACGAACAGGAAUAGGCUCAUGCAAUUCCUGAUGGGUCUAAAUGAGGCCUUCGGGUCUGUGAGAGAUCAGGUAUUGGGGAUGGACCCUUUACCAACUGUAAACAAGGCUUACUCAAUGGUUGUAAAAUUUGAGUCUCAAAGGGAGAUUCUAGGGGCAAUGAAUGACAACUCAGAAUCUCUUGCCCUAUUGAAUAAGGCUCAAGCUCAGAGUCUAUCCAGACCAAGAAGGUCUGAGGUCAAGAAGGGUCACUGCACCUUCUGCAACAUGGAUGGCCACACUCGAGAAGGGUGUUUUAGAUUGAUUGGGUAUCCUGAUUGGUUCAAGACUAAGAACAAGGUAGGAACCCAAUCUUUCAAAGGCAAUAGAAGCACCAAAGUUAUGGCUGCUAUUGAAGGGAACAAAUCAGAAGAGGAUAACCCUCUGGAAUAUCUAGACCCAUCAAGUAAAAUACAUGAAUUGACAUCCAUGCUGAGCUCUUUAAAGCAAAAAGUUUCUCAGCUUGUGAAGGGGAAAGGGACUCUUGCCCCAAGCACUUCUUAUGGAUCUGAGGCACAUUUCAUAGACUUUGCAGGUAAGCCUACUCUCUAUAACACUUGCAAUGCUGAAAUGCAAACUGACUCUGAUUGGAUCCUAGACACUGGUGCCACAAAUCACAUGUGUUCAGACAGCCCUGUUCACCACUUUGCACCCACUACACAAGCACAUUUGUGUGUGCUUUCCAGAUGGGAAAACAACUCAGGUUACUCAAUCUGGAAAGCUAAAUCUCUUUGGCAAAUUGAUUUUAGAUGAUGUUCUUUAUAUUCCACAUUUUCAAUACAAUUUGAUUUCUGUUGGUCAAUUAAUGAGUAGCCAUGGAUACUGUAUAGUAAUGUGGAAGGAUUAUUGCCUUAUACAGGACCCACUGAGUAAGAAGGUGGUGGCCAUAGGCAAGAAACAAAGAGGCCUCUUCAGGCUGAACCAAAUGAGCUUUUCUCAUUCUAAUGUAAGAAAUUGUUUGUUUGAAAUCAUGAACUCUAAUACUGAUCUUCACAGCUUUGUAAAUAGCACUCUCUUCCAUAUGGAGUUGAAUAAAGAACAUUCCAUGCAAUUUGAACAGAGACAUAAACAUGUAGUGACCAUGAAUGAUAUGCAUGAUAGACUAGGGCAUGCAUCAGUAGGUAAACUCAAACAUGUUAAAGGCAUAAAUAUCAGUAAUUAGGCCAUGAAAUGCUGUCCUGUCUGUCCCCUAGCUAAACAAGCCAAAUUACCUUUUUCCAGAAGUCACACCUUAGCCUCAAAACCUUUUGAAUUAAUUCACAUUGACAUAUGGGGGCCAUAUAAGACCAGCUCUAUCACUGGAGCUAAGUUCUUCCUCACCAUUGUUGAUGAUUAUAGUAGGGCUGUGUGGACUUUUAUGAUGCACUUAAAAGGUCAGGCCUUUAGUUUGACUAAACACUUUAUACACAUGGUAGAAAAUCAGUUUAAUACCACCAUCAAAGUCAUUAGAAGUGACAAUGGAAAGGAGUUUCUAAGCCAUAAUUAUAGUUCUCUGCUUAUGAGUAAGGGGAUUAAGCACCAAAGAUCAUGUUUGUACACUCCACAACAGAAUGGAGUUGUGGAGAGGAAACACAAACACAUACUUGACACUGCUAGAGCCUUGAAAAUGCAAUCACAAGUCCCUAUCCAAUUCUGGUCAGAAUGUAUAUUAACUGCUACUUACCUAAUUAAUAGAAUGCCUAUGGAGCAUUUUAAUUGGUCCACGCCUUAUGAGAGGCUCUAUGGGACCUCACCUAACUAUUCUCACCUGAGAAAGUUUGGUUGCUUGUGUUUUGCUACUUCUGUGGGAACUCAGAAGGACAAAUUUCAAGAAAGAGCCAUUAAAGCUGUGAUGAUAGGUUAUGCCAGGACACACAAAGCCUAUAAGCUUUAUAACAUCAGUGAUAAAACCUUCUUUAUUAGUAGGGAUGUCGUUUUCCAUGAAAACAUAUUUCCCUUCCAAAACACUAAUCUGAUUGAGAACUCUGUGGUUCCUAUUCCUGUGAUUGAGAAUGAUUGCCCAGAUGUUGAUUUCUGUCCAUCUGGUCACACCAGUGAUAACAUAUAGAAAUAUCCUUCAGUUAGAAGGACCCAAAGGCAUAGGCAAGCGCAUGUCUGGAUGCAGGACUAUGUAAAUUCCCAACAAGCAUCCUUAAUGAUCAAUAAUCCCUUACAUCAGUCUUACAUUUGCAAUAUCAAUAAGGUCACUGAACCUUGUACUUACACUCAAGCAUCUAAGGAUGCACAUUGGGUUGAAGCCAUGAAGCAAGAGCUUCAGGCCCUGGAAAAUAAUAACACCUGGGUGCUCACUAAUUUACCUAAAGGAAAAAAGGUAAUAGGCUGUAAAUGGGUCUAUAAAGUAAAAUUUAAGCCAAAUGGGGAUGUAGAGAGAUAUAAGGCUCGGUUGGUGGCCAAGGGUUACAACCAAAUUGAGGGGUUGGAUUACAAAGAUAGAUUUUCACCUGUGGCCAAGCUUACGACUGUAAGAAUUUUCAUUGCUCUUGCUACUUCCAGACAAUGGCCAAUUUUCCAAUUGGAUAUAAAUAAUGCUUUUUUACAUGGAUAUCUUGAUGAAGAGGUGUACAUGACACCUCCCCAAGGUUAUCACAGAGCCCAGCCAGGGCAAGUUUGCUUGCUUAAAUGGUCAUUAUAUGGGCUUAAACAAGCCUCUAGAUAGUGGAACAUUGAAUUUACCAAUUUCCUCAAAAGUUUGGACUUUGUGCAGUCCCCACAUGAUCACUGCCUCUUUACCCAGCACACUGGUACUGUAACUUUGAUACUGCUUGUGUAUGUUGAUGAUAUUAUUUUAACUGGAAACUCCAUUAAUGCCAUUACUAAGUGCAAGCUUGCUUUACAUUCAAAAUUUACUAUCAAGGAUUUGGGGCCUAUGAAAUACUUUUUGGGCCUAGAGGUUGCUAGAUCCUCUCAAGCAACUUUACUUAGUCAAGCUAAGUAUAUUUCAGACAUAUUGAAAGAUGCAGGCAUGCUUCACUGUAAACCUGUCUCUUGUCCUUUACCUCAAGGCUUGCAUUUGUCUCCUGAAUCAGGAGAGCUUUUUGAUAAACCUGAUUUAUAUAGGAGACUUCUUGGCAGGCUUCUUUAUGUCAAUCUCACAAGGCCUGAUAUAUGCUAUGCUGUGCGACACUUGAGCCAAUUUAUGAGCAUGCCCCGAAAACCUCAUUAGGAGGCUGCUUUACAUGUGCUUCGCUAUCUUAAGGGCUCCUUACGUCAAGGGCUUUGUUUUCCUGUAGAUACUGAUCUAUCUUUACAUGCCUACUAUGACUCUGAUUGGGCAGCUUGUACUUAUUCCAGAAAGUCACUCUCUGGAUAUUGCAUAUACUUGGGUCCUUACCUUGUUUCUUGGAAAACAAAGAAACAGUCUACUGUUUCUAAAUCCUCAGCUGAAGCUGAGUAUCGUGCAAUGGCUAACACUGUGUGUGAACUCUUCUGGAUUAGCUAUAUUUUACAGGAUUUGCAGGUUCACAUUCAACUGCCCAUUCCACUGCACUGUGAUAGCAAAGCUGCCAUGCAUAUUGCUGCCAAUCCGGUCUUCCAUGAGCGCACGAAGCAU